UUGGAGCUAUAGAACCAAAGGCGUCAAAUGAGCAUCAUUUCAUACUAGUCGCAAUCUAUUAUUUCCCCAGUGGAGUCACCAUCUAUCGCAACCAGAACGACGGGACGAUGAUCCAAAAAUGAUGGGUUUUUUGAAAAAGAGAUUUGGAGUCGCCACCAUGGUUUAUUCUGGAAAACUAGGAAAAAACCAUAAAAUGAUAAGGCAAGGUCUACGUAAAACAGAUUCCAGG
This 229-nucleotide long non-coding RNA is filed under the name Vigna radiata. RNAcentral's name for it is "long non-coding RNA (VRAD_LNC002711)". Lineage: Eukaryota; Viridiplantae; Streptophyta; Magnoliopsida; Fabales; Fabaceae. The record is from RNAcentral.